AAGGACGUUUCAGUCCAAAACAGGCCAGCGAUAAAAAGGAAAAAAAUUCUUGACCCUUCAAAAUAAAAAAAGAACCCACGCUCUCUCUCCUCUCAUUCGCGACUCCUCCCCAGAUCUAGAUCUAGCAGUCUUUCUUCAUCUUCUCGGCCUUCUCUGUGCACUCGGGGAAUUUUCAAGUUUCCUCUUUGACUGGAUGUGAGAUGCGAGAGAAAUCUGAAAGCCAUCUGACAAUACAAUUCAUUGACGCUGUCGCUCCCAUCACCAAAGCACCAUGGUAGAUCUAUUAUCCUUCUCUACCUAUCAUGUGGGGCUCUUCAGUUGGAGAACAAGGUUAGGUAUAAGCCAAAUGAUCGCACUUCCACCACAAAGUUGGAUAUGGGGUUUAGUGAUAUUACUGGUCCUUGAUCCCUACUGAGCUGUUUCAUGUGGAGUUUAUAAUGAAGUUCAUAUAUAUGUACAUGGAAUUUAUCUUUAGUGGUGUUUCAUGUGGAUUCAUAUGUAUGUUUGCAUAUGUUGAUUUUCAGUUUGUUUUGAUGAACAAAUUGUAUUAUUGACUUUAAAACUUUGAGUUCCAGGAACAUAUGCUUUGAAGAAACACAUCAAAUACAUAUGUUUUGAUGUGUCUCCCCAUCUAUUGAGCCCAUUCUAGAAUAUAUAGCCUCUGCAAUGUCAAGGUCCACUGCACAGAAGCUUCUGGCCGGAUUGGUUUUGUCAGUUCCUUUUUGCAAUGUAGUACAAGGGAGAAGCUUUGAAAGGGCCAAGAGACUUUAUUUUAUUGUAGAGCUUUGUAUGUGUGUGGGGCUUUCAAUGGACAAACCCUUGAGGAAUCAAUUACAACCUAGAAAAUUUGGUGGAGUUCAAAGCAACUCUUGAACAGAAUUUUCUCAAGGGAACGAAAGAUCCAAAGCUUGAUGGAAAUCUAAAGACACAAAGAGAAGAAGGGUCAUUGAUCAGGUAAAGCAAAGUAAAAUGAUUCAUGAAGAAGCAUGAGUUGGUGGAAGCUCUGAAAAGGUUGUUACAGAAACCAUUCCAUUCUUCCCUCAAAGAAAAGUGACAGAAGUUCAAAUGAUAGAGGCAAGUAUGUAUGUCUAUUGUCAUCUAGGAUUACAUAUGAUUAGAACUUAUAACUAGGAAUUAGUUAAUGGAUUGUUCUUGUAGAAGCAUAUUGUAACAAGUAAUAGAUGACAUUUGUCUUGGUGUUGUAAAGAUGAUUUGGAUAUAAAUGUCUUUUUUCAUUAUAAGGACAA
This is a long non-coding RNA of Rosa rugosa (rugosa rose), 1247 nucleotides long. RefSeq lists it as uncharacterized. The record is from RefSeq and is a predicted model, not a curated record. The transcript is spliced from 7 exons. Lineage: Eukaryota; Viridiplantae; Streptophyta; Magnoliopsida; Rosales; Rosaceae.